Molecule: long non-coding RNA, 1591 nt
Filed under: Nicotiana tabacum (common tobacco)
Lineage: Eukaryota; Viridiplantae; Streptophyta; Magnoliopsida; Solanales; Solanaceae
Description: long non-coding RNA (NTAB_LNC012719)
Source: RNAcentral
CAUUUUCUUCUUCCCUUCGACCUUCUUUUGUUGAUCCUUUAUCACUCUUUUUGCUAUUCUCUGUGUUCUGCCGUUGCUGCUCGCGACCGACUCCCUACAAUUUGCUCGUUUUUGCCUUUCUGGUAAGCUUCCCCAACUUCUGUUUCUUAUUACUUUGUUAUUGACCUUUGGCUCUAUUUUGUCCAACAGAGUUUGUGUACGUGUUCAGUAGAUGAAGCAAAAAAGAAAGUUGAUCUUUUUUGGUCCAAUAUUUAUGUUUUCCAUAUUUCUCUUCGGAUAUUAUGUGGAGCUAAAAGGCCUACCUUUUGUUUUUCAUAAUUUGAAUGACGAAUCAGAGAAAUUUGUAUUUGAAGUCCAACUGGAAUAGGUGAAAUUUCACCUUGUGCUUUGUAAAUUAUAAAUGCCAUAUAUAGGAUCACGACGAUUUUUCAUACCAAUUAAAAUAUGCCCUGCUUCACGGUGGUAUAAAAUAAUCACAAGUGCAAAUUGUCAUGGCCUGUUGUCCACAUUCAAGAAAGUUGAGCUUUCUUUUAGUCAGCCUAAUUCCUAUAAUGCAAUAUGUUUUUUGAGCGUAUCCCCAUCUGUAGUCUAAUUAAUUAUAUUCUAGUAUUAAUUUUUAAGUAUAGGAGUCAUGCACAUGUCUAUCUUGAGUGAGCGAAUUCUAAUAUGUUUUAGAUGUUGGAUCUAUUUGAUUUUCCUUUGCCUUUUGCUUGGAACUUGUUCUGCACCUCAGUAUUUAAGUUGAACAACAUAUAUAGUUGAUGAAAAGAAUGAGUGCUUCAUCACAUAUCCAUCCGAAAAUAAAUAUAGUUGCUUUGAUGUUUUAGCAGAGCUUCACGGGUCACACGCAUCUAGUACAAUUACAAGAAUGAUGUUGAAUCAUAAUAAGUGAAACUCUAUCAGUUGUGAGUGCCAAUCUGUACUAAGAACAUAAGCAUUGUAGCUCACAGUAACCAAUUGUCACCUAUGUUUGCGCGGACUCUCCAAAAUGUAGCCGCAUCCGUGUCGGAUCAUUCAAAAAUGCACUACUUUGGGAGGAUCUGACACGUAUCCGGCCACAUUUUCAGAGAGUCCGAGCAACAUAGAUUGUCACAACAUCUGUAGGGGGUUGGGUGGGGGAGCAUGGGCUGGGGAAAGAGAUAGCUGGACCACAGCGGCCUCUCGGGUGGCCUUAAGCCAAAUCUUAGCAAGAUGCCUUAACUUUUAUAUAAUUAUAUACAUAAGUUUUUUUUUUUUUGUAUAUGUAUAAUUAUAUAUAUAUAUGAGUUUUGCUAACCUACAACAUGCCUCUAGUAGGUUAGCAUUGUACCAACUUUUUAUUUAUACAAUGUAAGUGUAAAUUUUCUUGGAACAACUUCUAGAAGGCAACACCUUGUGCAACAAAAUAGUUCUGUUGCAUAAGUGUUGGAGGAAAUAUUUUACAAGCUUCUAAGUCACCAUAGAUCCAAGAUCCCAUAAUAGUAGGAGCAGACUAUUUAUAUAUAAUUUUAACCCUUUGAAUAAGCAGCCGAAGUCAUGGUUAAUGGGUGAAAUCCAUGAUGAAGACUUGCUUUCCACACUUUCUCAAUAUCAAGCACCAUGUCACCACAUU